Molecule: non-coding RNA, 187 nt
Organism: Scytonema hofmannii PCC 7110
Lineage: Bacteria; Bacillati; Cyanobacteriota; Cyanophyceae; Nostocales; Scytonemataceae
Rfam family: Antisense RNA which regulates isiA expression
Source: Rfam
GGUAACCGAAGAUGACACCAGGGUUCAAAGUUGGGUUGGUAAUGACGCGAACAUCACCACCACCAGGUGCCCAAGUGUCAUACAAACCGCCAAAGAACAUUGCUUUCAGUACCAACAGCAAAGCACCACAUCCCAAGAUAAUGAGAUGGAAGCCGAUGAUGUUGGUCAUCUUGUUCUUGUCUUUCCA